CAAGUCGAGGGGUAACGAUGACUUCGGCCAGGCGACGACCGGCGCACGGGUGAGUAUCGCGUUUGUAACCUACCUCUAACUGGAGAAUAGCCCGAAGAAAUUCGGAUUAAUACUCCAUAAUACUAUGAUCUGGCAUCUUUUUAUAGUUAAAGCUCCGGCGGUUAGAGAUGGGCAUGCGUGACAUUAGUUUGUUGGUGAGGUAAAAGCUCACCAAGACUACGAUGUCUAGGGGGUCUGAGAGGAUGGUCCCCCACACUGGUACUGAGACACGGACCAGACUCCUACGGGAGGCAGCAGUGAGGAAUAUUGGUCAAUGGGCGCAAGCCUGAACCAGCCAUGCCGCGUGAAGGAUGACAGCGCUAUGCGUUGUAAACUUCUUUUGUACAGGAAGAAACACUUCUACGUGUAGAAGCUUGACGGUACUGUACGAAUAAGCAUCGGCUAACUCCGUGCCAGCAGCCGCGGUAAUACGGAGGAUGCAAGCGUCAUCCGGAUUUAUUGGGUUUAAAGGGUACGUAGGCGGGAAAUUUAGUCAGUAGUGAAAUCCUACAGCUUAACUGUAGAACUGUUAUUGAUACUGGUUUUCUUGAAUAUAGUUGAGGUAGGCGGAAUGUGUAAUGUAGCGGUGAAAUGCUUAGAUAUUACACAGAACACCGAUUGCGAAGGCAGCUAACUAAACUGAUAUUGACGCUGAGGUACGAAAGCGUGGGGGAGCGAACAGGAUUAGAUACCCUGGUAGUCCACGCUGUAAACGAUGAUCACUCGUUGUUGGCAAUACAUCGUCAGCGACUGAGCGAAAGCAUUAAGUGAUCCACCUGGGGAGUACGAUCGCA
RNAcentral lists this ribosomal RNA (833 nucleotides) under uncultured bacterium. RNAcentral describes it as "bacterial SSU rRNA". It matches the Rfam family "Bacterial small subunit ribosomal RNA", at positions 58 to 890 of the family's 1533-position model. The record is from RNAcentral.